This 614-nucleotide ribosomal RNA is filed under the name Saccharomyces cerevisiae (brewer's yeast). RNAcentral's name for it is "partial large subunit ribosomal RNA". It matches the Rfam family "Eukaryotic large subunit ribosomal RNA", at positions 38 to 666 of the family's 3401-position model. Lineage: Eukaryota; Fungi; Ascomycota; Saccharomycetes; Saccharomycetales; Saccharomycetaceae. The record is from RNAcentral.
GCAUAUCAAAUAAGCGGAGGAAAAGAAACCAACCGGGAUUGCCUUAGUAACGGCGAGUGAGCGGCAAAAGCUCAAAUUUGAAAUCUGGUACCUUCGGUGCCCGAGUUGUAAUUUGGAGAGGGCAACUUUGGGGCCGUUCCUUGUCUAUGUUCCUUGGAACAGGACGUCAUAGAGGGUGAGAAUCCCGUGUGGCGAGGAGUGCGGUUCUUUGUAAAGUGCCUUCGAAGAGUCGAGUUGUUUGGGAAUGCAGCUCUAAGUGGGUGGUAAAUUCCAUCUAAAGCUAAAUAUUGGCGAGAGACCGAUAGCGAACAAGUACAGUGAUGGAAAGAUGAAAAGAACUUUGAAAAGAGAGUGAAAAAGUACGUGAAAUUGUUGAAAGGGAAGGGCAUUUGAUCAGACAUGGUGUUUUGUGCCCUCUGCUCCUUGUGGGUAGGGGAAUCUCGCAUUUCACUGGGCCAGCAUCAGUUUUGGUGGCAGGAUAAAUCCAUAGGAAUGUAGCUUGCCUCGGUAAGUAUUAUAGCCUGUGGGAAUACUGCCAGCUGGGACUGAGGACUGCGACGUAAGUCAAGGAUGCUGGCAUAAUGGUUAUAUGCCGCCCGUCUUGAACAACGGAC